This 251-nucleotide ribosomal RNA is filed under the name uncultured bacterium. Its description in RNAcentral is "partial 16S ribosomal RNA". It matches the Rfam family "Bacterial small subunit ribosomal RNA", at positions 336 to 579 of the family's 1533-position model. The record is from RNAcentral.
UUCCUACGGGGCGCAGCAGUAGGGAAUCUUCCACAAUGGACGAAAGUCUGAUGGAGCAACGCCGCGUGAGUGAAGAAGGGUUUCGGCUCGUAAAGCUCUGUUGGUAGUGAAGAAAGAUAGAGGUAGUAACUGGCCUUUAUUUGACGGUAAUUACUUAGAAAGUCACGGCUAACUACGUGCCAGCAGCCGCGGGAAUACGUAGGUGGCAAGCGGUGUCCGGAUUUAUUGGGCGUAAAGCGAGUGCAGGCGGG